RNAcentral lists this transfer RNA (47 nucleotides) under Beta vulgaris subsp. vulgaris (sugar beet). It matches the Rfam family "tRNA", at positions 26 to 71 of the family's 71-position model. From Rfam's summary of the family: Transfer RNA (tRNA) molecules are approximately 80 nucleotides in length. Their secondary structure includes four short double-helical elements and three loops (D, anti-codon, and T loops). Further hydrogen bonds mediate the characteristic L-shaped molecular structure. tRNAs have two regions of fundamental functional importance: the anti-codon, which is responsible for specific mRNA codon recognition, and the 3' end, to which the tRNAs corresponding amino acid is attached (by aminoacyl-tRNA synthetases). tRNAs cope with the degeneracy of the genetic code in two manners: having more than one tRNA (with a specific anti-codon) for a particular amino acid; and 'wobble' base-pairing, i.e. permitting non-standard base-pairing at the 3rd anti-codon position. The record is from Rfam by way of RNAcentral. Lineage: Eukaryota; Viridiplantae; Streptophyta; Magnoliopsida; Caryophyllales; Amaranthaceae.
GCGGAAUCAUAAUCCGUAGGUCGGGGGUUCAAGUCCCUCCCCCGCUA